AAAAAGAUAAAGGCAAGUGAACUGAGAAAACGAUAUAUACCUCUCCCAAAUCUGAGGCAUUCUUCUUGUUGGCCUUUCUGGAAUUUGUUUUUAUUUUAUUUUAUUUUUGAAUUUGGUUAUGUUGAGUAAUAGUGGGGGGAUGAUACUAUAAGAGACAAAACCAUGUCCUAAAAGUUUGGGUUGUACAUUCUUAUUGUCUGCCUAUUCAGCUCACCUGGCCC
RNAcentral lists this long non-coding RNA (221 nucleotides) under Linum usitatissimum (flax). Its description in RNAcentral is "long non-coding RNA (LUSI_LNC004576)". Lineage: Eukaryota; Viridiplantae; Streptophyta; Magnoliopsida; Malpighiales; Linaceae. The record is from RNAcentral.